This 253-nucleotide ribosomal RNA is filed under the name uncultured bacterium. RNAcentral's name for it is "partial 16S ribosomal RNA". It matches the Rfam family "Bacterial small subunit ribosomal RNA", at positions 524 to 776 of the family's 1533-position model. The record is from RNAcentral.
UACGUAGGGGGCAAGCGUUGUCCGGAUUUAUUGGGCGUAAAGAGCGUGUAGGCGGCCAGGUAGGUCAGCUGUGAAAACUCGAGGCUCAACCUCGAGACGUCGGUUGAAACCAUCUGGCUAGAGUCCGGAAGAGGAGAGUGGAAUUCCUGGUGUAGCGGUGAAAUGCGCAGAUAUCAGGAGGAACACCGAUGGCGAAGGCAGCUCGCUGGGACGGUACUGACGCUGAGGCGCGAAAGCGUGGGGAGCGAACAGG